Molecule: ribosomal RNA, 253 nt
Filed under: uncultured bacterium
Lineage: Bacteria
Description: partial 16S ribosomal RNA
Rfam family: Bacterial small subunit ribosomal RNA
Source: RNAcentral
UACGUAGGUGGCAAGCGUUAUCCGGAUUUACUGGGUGUAAAGGGCGUGUAGGCGGGACUGCAAGUCGGAUGUGAAAACCACGGGCUCAACCUGUGGCCUGCAUUUGAAACUGUAGUUCUUGAGUACUGGAGAGGCAGACGGAAUUCCUAGUGUAGCGGUGAAAUGCGUAGAUAUUAGGAGGAACACCAGUGGCGAAGGCGGUCUGCUGGACAGCAACUGACGCUGAGGCGCGAAAGCGUGGGGAGCAAACAGG